ACGCGUAAAGAUAAAAACACAGUCCCGGCCGGUAGUCCGGGCACAGCCAUGCUGUCAGUAACCCGCCUUCCUCGGCUGUCCCUUCUUUGCCGUUUUUUG
Molecule: regulatory RNA element, 99 nt
Organism: Firmicutes bacterium CAG:94
Lineage: Bacteria; Bacillati; Bacillota
Rfam family: azaaromatic riboswitch aptamer (yjdF RNA)
Source: Rfam